Molecule: signal recognition particle RNA, 264 nt
Filed under: Anaerolineae bacterium
Lineage: Bacteria; Bacillati; Chloroflexota; Anaerolineae
Description: signal recognition particle sRNA large type
Rfam family: Bacterial large signal recognition particle RNA
About the family: The signal recognition particle (SRP) is a universally conserved ribonucleoprotein involved in the co-translational targeting of proteins to membranes.
Source: RNAcentral
UCGUGCUAGACGGGGAGCUGGCGGUGCCCUGUACCCGCAAUCCGCCAUAGCGGGGUCGAAUUCCCCCCCGAGGGCUUGCCUGUGUGGGACUACCGCUGUCGAAAGGCGCUGAAGGGCGGGUCCUGCGCGGCAGGAGCCUCCAAACCCCGCCAGGUCCGGGAGGAAGCAACGGUAAGGAGUCCCUCCUGGGUGCCGCAGGGGUGCCUGCCCGGAGCCGGACGGCAUCGGCAAGCCAGGCGGUGCAGUUCGACGGGGGGUGCACGA